CCCUCCUCCUGCUGUUGGUGGUGUUCAUCCAAGCAAGUCAAGUUCUGCUGGAGCGGCUGAGGUCACAGCUCAGGGGAGCAGUGAUUGGUUGGAGCUGAUGUGGUCGUUUGCAGCCAGUUUGUUGGCUCCAGAUGAGGAAGAAGAAGGUAUUCACCUGCUAAAUGAAAGCCUCACAUCGUUCCUUUCUGAGGCGUUGUGAUGGAGGACAGCUGCUUCGGAAGACAAUAACAGACAAACACUAAAACCCAGACAGACAAGAAGAAGAGGCGAAAUGAAUGUGGAAGAAAGGAUGCAGAGGAAGGAAAGGAGGAAA
Molecule: long non-coding RNA, 313 nt
Organism: Thalassophryne amazonica
Lineage: Eukaryota; Metazoa; Chordata; Actinopteri; Batrachoidiformes; Batrachoididae
Exons: 3
Source: RefSeq, a predicted model, not a curated record